Molecule: ribosomal RNA, 80 nt
Filed under: Bacillus salipaludis
Lineage: Bacteria; Bacillati; Bacillota; Bacilli; Caryophanales; Bacillaceae
Description: Bacillus sp. WN066 partial 16S ribosomal RNA
Rfam family: Bacterial small subunit ribosomal RNA
Source: RNAcentral
UUCUUGGAGAGUUUGAUCCUGGCUCAGGACGAACGCUGGCGGCGUGCCUAAUACAUGCAAGUCGAGCGAAUCAACAGGAG